UUUUUUUGCUGCUGACAAUGUGGAGUUAUCCCCGAGCAGCUUUCUGUGUUCUCUGUGCUUGCCAGAAGCGGUGCCCCGUGAAACUUGUUCAGAGGCUAUCUGCAACUGUUUCUAGCAGUCCACUCCCUAGAGAUGUUUCUGGUGAGUUCUCGAAAGUGUACAACUCGGAAGAUGUGGAGGCUGUCUGGUUGGAUUGGUGGGAGGCUAGUGGCAUUCAUGACCCCUGCAAAGAGGCG
Dermacentor silvarum is the source of this 236-nucleotide long non-coding RNA. RefSeq lists it as uncharacterized. The record is from RefSeq and is a predicted model, not a curated record. The transcript is spliced from 3 exons. NCBI's taxonomy places the organism in Eukaryota, Metazoa, Arthropoda, Arachnida, Ixodida, Ixodidae.